CAAGAAAAUGCCUAAAAUCUAAAUACAUUUAAAGAUAUGUGUUGUAUAUUUCCACCUGCAGGGGAGCUACCUGAGACAUUGGCCAUUAUCCUCAGUGAAACAAACUUUGAUUUUCCAGACAUAAGGAAGAGAUGCAAAAGCUUCUGCAGUGGCUUCUCUCCCGAAUCAGGCUGUGAAGGAGACUGAAGUCUCCUCACAGCUGGCUUCAGAGACAUCUCAGACUCCUCCUGCACACGUCUUCCUUCAUUACCUCACCC
Molecule: long non-coding RNA, 257 nt
Filed under: Fukomys damarensis (Damara mole-rat)
Lineage: Eukaryota; Metazoa; Chordata; Mammalia; Rodentia; Bathyergidae
Description: lncRNA (ENSFDAG00000022152.1)
Source: RNAcentral